Molecule: ribosomal RNA, 1531 nt
Filed under: Serratia quinivorans
Lineage: Bacteria; Pseudomonadati; Pseudomonadota; Gammaproteobacteria; Enterobacterales; Yersiniaceae
Description: bacterial SSU rRNA
Rfam family: Bacterial small subunit ribosomal RNA
Source: RNAcentral
AGAGUUUGAUCAUGGCUCAGAUUGAACGCUGGCGGCAGGCCUAACACAUGCAAGUCGAGCGGUAGCACAGGAGAGCUUGCUCUCCGGGUGACGAGCGGCGGACGGGUGAGUAAUGUCUGGGAAACUGCCUGAUGGAGGGGGAUAACUACUGGAAACGGUAGCUAAUACCGCAUAACGUCUUCGGACCAAAGUGGGGGACCUUCGGGCCUCACGCCAUCAGAUGUGCCCAGAUGGGAUUAGCUAGUAGGUGGGGUAAUGGCUCACCUAGGCGACGAUCCCUAGCUGGUCUGAGAGGAUGACCAGCCACACUGGAACUGAGACACGGUCCAGACUCCUACGGGAGGCAGCAGUGGGGAAUAUUGCACAAUGGGCGCAAGCCUGAUGCAGCCAUGCCGCGUGUGUGAAGAAGGCCUUCGGGUUGUAAAGCACUUUCAGCGAGGAGGAAGGGUUCAGUGUUAAUAGCACUGUNCAUUGACGUUACUCGCAGAAGAAGCACCGGCUAACUCCGUGCCAGCAGCCGCGGUAAUACGGAGGGUGCAAGCGUUAAUCGGAAUUACUGGGCGUAAAGCGCACGCAGGCGGUUUGUUAAGUCAGAUGUGAAAUCCCCGCGCUUAACGUGGGAACUGCAUUUGAAACUGGCAAGCUAGAGUCUUGUAGAGGGGGGUAGAAUUCCAGGUGUAGCGGUGAAAUGCGUAGAGAUCUGGAGGAAUACCGGUGGCGAAGGCGGCCCCCUGGACAAAGACUGACGCUCAGGUGCGAAAGCGUGGGGAGCAAACAGGAUUAGAUACCCUGGUAGUCCACGCUGUAAACGAUGUCGACUUGGAGGUUGUGCCCUUGAGGCGUGGCUUCCGGAGCUAACGCGUUAAGUCGACCGCCUGGGGAGUACGGCCGCAAGGUUAAAACUCAAAUGAAUUGACGGGGGCCCGCACAAGCGGUGGAGCAUGUGGUUUAAUUCGAUGCAACGCGAAGAACCUUACCUACUCUUGACAUCCAGAGAAUUCGCUAGAGAUAGCUUAGUGCCUUCGGGAACUCUGAGACAGGUGCUGCAUGGCUGUCGUCAGCUCGUGUUGUGAAAUGUUGGGUUAAGUCCCGCAACGAGCGCAACCCUUAUCCUUUGUUGCCAGCGCGUAAUGGCGGGAACUCAAAGGAGACUGCCGGUGAUAAACCGGAGGAAGGUGGGGAUGACGUCAAGUCAUCAUGGCCCUUACGAGUAGGGCUACACACGUGCUACAAUGGCGUAUACAAAGAGAAGCGAACUCGCGAGAGCCAGCGGACCUCAUAAAGUACGUCGUAGUCCGGAUCGGAGUCUGCAACUCGACUCCGUGAAGUCGGAAUCGCUAGUAAUCGUAGAUCAGAAUGCUACGGUGAAUACGUUCCCGGGCCUUGUACACACCGCCCGUCACACCAUGGGAGUGGGUUGCAAAAGAAGUAGGUAGCUUAACCUUCGGGAGGGCGCUUACCACUUUGUGAUUCAUGACUGGGGUGAAGUCGUAACAAGGUAACCGUAGGGGAACCUGCGGUUGGAUCACCU